GAUGAACGCUGGCGGCGUGCCUAAUACAUGCAAGUCGAGCGAACAGACGAGGAGGUUGCUCCUCUGACGUUAGCCGCGGACGUGAGAGUUACAUAUGGAUACCCUACCUAUAAGACUACGAUAACUUCGGGAAACCGGUGCUAAUAACGGACUCUAUAUUCAACCGCAUGGUUCGAUAGUUAAAGACGGUUUUGCUGUCCCUUAUAGCUAGAUCCGCGCCGCAUUAGCUAUUUGGUAAGGUAACGGCUUAUCAAGGCGACGAUGCGUAGCCGACCUGCGAGGGUGAUCGGCCACACUGGAACUGAGACACGGUACUGACUCCUACGGGAGGCAGCGGUAGGGAAUCGUGCGAAAUGGGCGGAAGCCUGACGGAUCAGCGCCAGGCUGGUGAAGCAGGUCUGCGGGUCGUAAAACGCUGUUAUUGGGGUAGAACAAAUUUGUCAGGAACUAAGCACUUCGUGACGGUACCUAAUGAGAAAGCCACGGCUAACUACGUG
This 497-nucleotide ribosomal RNA is filed under the name uncultured bacterium. RNAcentral's name for it is "partial 16S ribosomal RNA". It matches the Rfam family "Bacterial small subunit ribosomal RNA", at positions 28 to 507 of the family's 1533-position model. The record is from RNAcentral.